CAACCGCGCCCCCCGCGCACGGACCCCCAUUACACUCGCGUCCCAGGCAGGGUAGACCCGGACGAGCCACGGGGCGGCGCAGAGCCCCACUCACAGGGCGGCCGGGACCCACGGGCGUGGGUCCACGCAGCAACCUAUAGGUGACAAAGCACUCAGGAAGCCGUCAUGCGGGGCCGAGAAAGAGCCCCCACCCAGAGUCACGGACCCCCUCGUCCGAGGGUCCGCGCAGUCCCCUCGGUGAGUCGGACGAAGCAGUCUCGCUACGGGGAACGGCGGGGAGGGCGGCGGAGUCUCCCACUCUUGGUGACCCGGACCCCGCCCCACGAGUGGGUCUUCGCAGGGCCCCCUCUGACGCACACGGGGACCAGCCACGCCGCGGGGGCACCGGGCAGGAGCCAGCGCCCGGGUCCAUGCAGUCCCCUCCGGGCAGACGCGGGGAGCUGGGGAGCAGUGGGGACUGGCCCCCACCCGCAGGACGACCGGGACCCCCGCGCGGGCCCACACGGCGUCGCAGCAGGCGCGGAGCCCCCGGUGCCACCCGAGGCCGAGACAAAGCCCAGGCGCACGGACCCCGGACCCCGACCCCGGACCCUGCGGAGCCCCGCUCGGAGCCGCCACGCCCGGGGCAGAGACCCCCGCCCGGUCCGGAGACCCUGCCGCCAGUCGCGCCGUCUCACCUCAGGGCGCCGUCUCACCUCAGGCCGCCGCCUCACAGCGCUCGCUCCUCGCCGCGGCGCCUGGGCCGACUGGAGCGCAGCUGAACAGCCGACAGAGCCGCGGCCGCCUCAACAAUGGAGCCCCGGGGCGGGGCUGCCGCCGCCGCCUCAGCCCGUGUCCCCCGCUCGGGAUCCGGCUCGGCUCGCGGAGCUGCAGCCGGCGUGGGGCUGCGGCCGGGACAAACACCGCGCAGGCGCACACGACCCCGCCCGCCGCCCGCCGCCCGCCGUCCCGCCCCCAGCAGAGCCGGGCGCCCAGGGCCCGCCCCCCGGCCAAUGGGGAGCGAGCUGCGCGGAGUGGGCGGGGCCUGGGGGAACAAAGGGAGGUUGGGCGGGGCGGCUCUGGGACUGGGCUUGCGGGGUCCCGCGGGAGAACCCGACUCAAGAGUCGGCCGAAUCCUCGCCUCUUGGAAUACCCAGCUCAACGUCUACUUGGAGUCGGCUCUACAGGACGCGCUCAUCUCAAACCCAGAGCUCAGGCUUUUAGGGCAGAGAGCGAGAGACAGGCUUGCUUUACAGAAAGGGAAACUGAGGUCCAAGGAAUAGGAUUGCCUGCCACCCGAAGAAACGUAAUCCCAUUCACUCGUUCAUCUUGUAGUCGUUCAGCAAACAUUUGGAAGCACGU
RNAcentral lists this long non-coding RNA (1341 nucleotides) under Pongo abelii (Sumatran orangutan). Its description in RNAcentral is "lincRNA". The record is from RNAcentral. Lineage: Eukaryota; Metazoa; Chordata; Mammalia; Primates; Hominidae.